This 22-nucleotide ribosomal RNA is filed under the name Callicostella prabaktiana. Its description in RNAcentral is "partial 18S ribosomal RNA". Lineage: Eukaryota; Viridiplantae; Streptophyta; Bryopsida; Hookeriales; Callicostaceae. The record is from RNAcentral.
UGAACUUGCAAAAGGAUCGUUG